UUGUACACACCGCCCGUCGCUACUACCGAUUGAAUGGCUCAGUGAGGCCUUCGGACUGGCCCAGGGAGGUCGGCAACGACCACCCAGGGCCGGAAAGUUGGUCAAACUCGGUCAUUUAGAGGAAGUAAAAGUCGUAACAAGGUCUCCGUAGGUGAACCUGCGGAGGGAUCAUUA
Molecule: ribosomal RNA, 174 nt
Filed under: Ramularia collo-cygni
Lineage: Eukaryota; Fungi; Ascomycota; Dothideomycetes; Mycosphaerellales; Mycosphaerellaceae
Also listed under: 3 other names
Description: partial 18S ribosomal RNA
Rfam family: Eukaryotic small subunit ribosomal RNA
Source: RNAcentral